GAUGAACGCUGGCGGCGUGCCUAAUACAUGCAAGUCGAGCGAACGGACGAGAAGCUUGCUUCUCUGAUGUUAGCGGCGGACGGGUGAGUAACACGUGGAUAACCUACCUAUAAGACUGGGAUAACUUCGGGAAACCGGAGCUAAUACCGGAUAAUAUUUUGAACCGCAUGGUUCAAAAGUGAAAAACGGUCUUGCUGUCACUUAUAGAUGGAUCCGCGCUGCAUUAGCUAGUUGGUAAGGUAACGGCUUACCAAGGCAACGAUGCAUAGCCGACCUGAGAGGGUGAUCGGCCACACUGGAACUGAGACACGGUCCAGACUCCUACGGGAGGCAGCAGUAGGGAAUCUUCCGCAAUGGGCGAAAGCCUGACGGAGCAACGCCGCGUGAGUGAUGAAGGUCUUCGGAUCGUAAAACUCUGUUAUUAGGGAAGAACAUAUGUGUAAGUAACUGUGCACAUCUUGACGGUACCUAAUCAGAAAGCCACGGCUAACUACGUG
This 497-nucleotide ribosomal RNA is filed under the name uncultured bacterium. RNAcentral describes it as "partial 16S ribosomal RNA". It matches the Rfam family "Bacterial small subunit ribosomal RNA", at positions 28 to 507 of the family's 1533-position model. The record is from RNAcentral.